RNAcentral lists this transfer RNA (75 nucleotides) under Vicinamibacteria bacterium. Its description in RNAcentral is "tRNA-Val". It matches the Rfam family "tRNA". From Rfam's summary of the family: Transfer RNA (tRNA) molecules are approximately 80 nucleotides in length. Their secondary structure includes four short double-helical elements and three loops (D, anti-codon, and T loops). The record is from RNAcentral. RNAcentral also lists the same sequence under 1 other name. Lineage: Bacteria; Pseudomonadati; Acidobacteriota; Vicinamibacteria.
AGGCGCGUGGCUCAGGGGUAGAGCGCUUCGUUGACACCGAAGAGGUCGAUGGUUCAAUUCCAUCCGCGCCUACCA